This 497-nucleotide ribosomal RNA is filed under the name uncultured bacterium. RNAcentral describes it as "partial 16S ribosomal RNA". It matches the Rfam family "Bacterial small subunit ribosomal RNA", at positions 28 to 507 of the family's 1533-position model. The record is from RNAcentral.
GAUGAACGCUGGCGGCGUGCCUAAUACAUGCAAGUCGAGCGAACAGAUAAGGAGCUUGCUCCUUUGACGUUAGCGGCGGACGGGUGAGUAACACGUGGGUAACCUACCUAUAAGACUGGGAUAACUUCGGGAAACCGGAGCUAAUACCGGAUAACAUUUGGAACCGCAUGGUUCUAAAGUGAAAGAUGGCUUUGCUUUCACUUAUAGAUGGACCCGCGCCGUAUUAGCUAGUUGGUAAGGUAACGGCUUACCAAGGCGACGAUACGUAGCCGACCUGAGAGGGUGAUCGGCCACACUGGAACUGAGACACGGUCCAGACUCCUACGGGAGGCAGCAGUAGGGAAUCUUCCGCAAUGGGCGAAAGCCUGACGGAGCAACGCCGCGUGAGUGAUGAAGGGUUUCGGAUCGUAAAACUCUGUUAUUAGGGAAGAACAAAUGUGUAAGUAACUGUGCACGUCCUGACGGUACCUAAUCAGAAAGCCACGGCUAACUACGUG